This 253-nucleotide ribosomal RNA is filed under the name uncultured bacterium. Its description in RNAcentral is "partial 16S ribosomal RNA". It matches the Rfam family "Bacterial small subunit ribosomal RNA", at positions 524 to 776 of the family's 1533-position model. The record is from RNAcentral.
GACAGUGGGUGCAAACGUUAUUCGGAAUCACUGGGCUUAAAGGGUGCGUAGGCGGCGCGGCAAGUUGGGUGUGAAAUCCCUCGGCUCAACCGAGGAACUGCGCCCAAAACUGCCGUGCUCGAGGGAGAUAGAGGUGAGCGGAACUUAGGGUGGAGCGGUGAAAUGCGUUGAUAUCCUAAGGAACACCGGUGGCGAAAGCGGCUCACUGGAUCUCUUCUGACGCUGAGGCACGAAAGCUAGGGUAGCGAACGGG